Molecule: RNA transcript, 695 nt
Organism: Ziziphus jujuba (common jujube)
Lineage: Eukaryota; Viridiplantae; Streptophyta; Magnoliopsida; Rosales; Rhamnaceae
Gene name: protein AGENET DOMAIN (AGD)-CONTAINING P1
Exons: 1
Source: RefSeq, a predicted model, not a curated record
AUGGCAUUUCACAGAGGAGAAGAGGUCGAAGUUUGCAGCAGAGAGGAUGGCUUUCUGGGAUCAUACUACACAGCUUACGGCAGUGGCUCAUCUCGAAAACAUGAACAGGUACGCUGUGCAGUACAAAGAGCUGUUGAAGAACGAUGAAUCUGGACCGUUAAUGGAGACAGUGUUGAAGAACGCGGUGAGGCCAGUACCACCGGAGAUGGUGGCCAGCGGUUUUGAAUACCUUGACAAUGACGGUUGGCGGGUGGGAAAGAUCACAGGGAAGGAAGGGUCAAACCACUACAAUGUCUACUUUGAAACCACAAGGGAUGAGAUUGAUUACCCAGUUUCUCGUUGGAAGUUUCAUCUUGAUUGGCGUUUUGGAAAGUGUGUUUCUUCCAAGAAAUCUCUACUCCCAUCAUCUGCUAAUUCCACUUGCUGAUUCUUGAUCUUUCACUUGUUUUCUACUCCGUUUUAUUUCGGUGUUGGACGGCACGGUGGACUUUGUUGCAGGCACGCAAAUGCCAUCUCUGCAAUGUAGAUCACUUGGUCUGCCAUUUGCCCCCUUGGAGGUGAGAGACGUUGAUCCAGUACAUCCUUAAGACAGCCAGUAAUGGUGAUAGUAACAGAGAUGAUAUGAGGUCUCCCGGAUGCUUUCCCAUGGUCACUUCUAACGUUACAACUCCGAAGCUUUACACGUCAAUCUUCUC